CACCAGGUUGAUUCUGCCUGACGUGGACGCUAGUCUCACAGAUUUAGCCAUGCAUGUGUAAGCGAAGCUUAUAGUGGAGCGGUAUACGGCUCAGUAACGGGCGAUUUAUUUGUUCUCCUGGGACGGACAACAUCGGGAAACUGAUGGGAAAACGUCUAAGUUGCAGUUAAUUGACUGUGACGUAAACCUUUGUGUGCAGGAGAGUAAGAUGCCAUCCUAUCAGUUAGUAAGUAGGGUAAGGGCCUACUUAGACGAAGACGGGUACGGGGAAUGAGGGUUUGAUUCCGGAGAGGGAGCCUGAGAGAUGGCUACCAGGACCAAGGUCAGCAGCAGGCGCGAAAAUUAUCGAAGCCCGCCUAGGGGCGAUAGUGAGGAGACGUGUAUAACGAAGUACGUGUAAAGAACGUGCUAAUAACUGGAGGUCAAGUCUGGUGCCAGCAUCCGCGGUAAUUCCAGCUCCAGGGGUGUCUAUGAUGAUUGCUGCGAUUAAAAAGUCCGUAGUCAAUCUGACUGACUGACCUGCAAUGUGAUUGAUUAAAGAACGAGCAGGGUUAGGAAAGCAGAGAAUUAGGAGCGACCGAGGGCUAGAGUAUUGAAUGGCGAGAGGUGAAAUUUGAUGACCCAUUCAGGAGUGACAAAGGCGAAGGCACUAGUCAAGGGCGAAUCCGAUGAUCAAGGACGUAGGCUAGAGUUUCGAAAACGAUUAGAGACCGGAGUAGUUCUAGCAGUAAACUAUGCCGACGCCGUGGUAUCAAUAAUGGUAUUGCGGAAGAGAAAUCAAGUAAGGCUUUGGGGAGAGUACGCGCGCAAGCGAUAAAUUUAAAGGAAAUU
RNAcentral lists this ribosomal RNA (831 nucleotides) under Dictyocoela sp. BLAP LAP3. Its description in RNAcentral is "SSU rRNA". It matches the Rfam family "Microsporidia small subunit ribosomal RNA", at positions 1 to 788 of the family's 1311-position model. The record is from RNAcentral. Lineage: Eukaryota; Fungi; Microsporidia.